CUUUUCACACUGUUUCCAUUCCUUGGCUUUUUAAUAGCAAACCUUCCACCGAGACCAUUUUUAUUGAGGCUUUGGCAAAUAGUAGAUGGAUCAACUGAAGGACCACAUACAUCUAAGGUCCUGUGUCCAGUCUUUGCUGACACAGGACCUGAGCUGGGUUCAGCUGCUGUUCAUCUGCUGCAGGUAGUUUUGUACGCCGGCUACUUCUUCUUUUGUUCUCAUCUUGUCCAGUUUCCCCAAAUUUUUCAAGGACACACUGAACACAGUGCUGACAUAUGCAAAAGCUCUUUGGGAAUCACCUUUUUUGUGCAAAAAUACAAAUAUUGUGCUCUUGCAACAAAGUUCCUAAAGAUAUCUAAAACUGGUUCUUUGCCAAGAUGUCUGUUUUGUGUAUACAGUGGUUCUCUGCUUCAUCCCUGGCCUUUCUGAUUCUUGAAUGUUUCAUAGGUCAGUGUUAAGUGGCUUAACAAGAAAAACAAUUCCUCUGAAAACAAAAAAUAAAAAUAAAAAUUAGUGUAAAAGCACAAAAAAAAUUCCUGGAUAAUGUGGGAGAAGUAUUGCUUAAGGCCACUUAAUAAAAUGACGAGAAAGUCUGGCUCCUUGGGAGCAAAAUAUAAAAAAAAUGAAGAGUGGCACAAGAUUUUGGAAAUAACUGUAGAUGUAAGCUAUUAUUUAAUAGUGUGGUUGUAUUGUUGUUACUCUAAGCAUCACCAAUGCACGUUGGUUAUACUGUUGGUCAUGCUUGCAUUUAGGUCUGUGUUUUUACAUGCAUAUUUACAUGCUUUUUUUAAACGUAUGCAAACAUUUUCAAAGCUUUAUGAAAAGUUACCUGACAGCGAAAACCAAAGCGAAAGAAUGAAGAGAAAACGUCUGCACCGCCGUGGCAGAAGGACAGACCUCAGAAGUAGCACUUCCAGAAGACUAUUAAAGUGACAACAAGUUCUCUGGGAUGAUGAUUACCUCACAAGAUAAAUGGUUUCAUUGUUUUUGGGAGCCAGGUUUCUUCUUAUGGGUGGCCUUGGAAUAAAAAAUAAACCCAUCCACCAUGUCCUAAUGUCAAAUGACUGCACUUUAAUCCUCUGUCAGGUCCUCACUUACUGGUUCUUAUGAUAUUAAAUCCAGAUUCAUGGCUGGUGGUUUCUCGCUUCCUCUGUAACCUUGACUCCAUCAUACCCCAUUCAUGACUCUAUAUUGCACAAAUUUACAUAAAUG
Long non-coding RNA from Astatotilapia calliptera (eastern happy), 1212 nucleotides. NCBI's taxonomy places the organism in Eukaryota, Metazoa, Chordata, Actinopteri, Cichliformes, Cichlidae. The record is from Ensembl.